RNAcentral lists this ribosomal RNA (576 nucleotides) under uncultured bacterium. RNAcentral describes it as "bacterial SSU rRNA". It matches the Rfam family "Bacterial small subunit ribosomal RNA", at positions 102 to 674 of the family's 1533-position model. The record is from RNAcentral.
ACGGGUGAGUAAUACAUCGGAACGUGCCCUGUAGUGGGGGAUAACUAGUCGAAAGAUUAGCUAAUACCGCAUACGACCUGAGGGUGAAAGUGGGGGACCGCAAGGCCUCAUGCUAUAGGAGCGGCCGAUGUCUGAUUAGCUAGUUGGUGGGGUAAAGGCCCACCAAGGCGACGAUCAGUAGCUGGUCUGAGAGGACGAUCAGCCACACUGGGACUGAGACACGGCCCAGACUCCUACGGGAGGCAGCAGUGGGGAAUUUUGGACAAUGGGGGCAACCCUGAUCCAGCAAUGCCGCGUGUGUGAAGAAGGCCUUCGGGUUGUAAAGCACUUUUGUCCGGAAAGAAAUCGCACUUACUAAUAUUAGGUGUGGAUGACGGUACCGGAAGAAUAAGGACCGGCUAACUACGUGCCAGCAGCCGCGGUAAUACGUAGGGUCCAAGCGUUAAUCGGAAUUACUGGGCGUAAAGCGUGCGCAGGCGGUUGUGCAAGACCGAUGUGAAAUCCCCGGGCUUAACCUGGGAAAUGCAUUGGUGACUGCACGGCUAGAGUGUGUCAGAGGGGGGUAGAAUUCCACGU